Molecule: non-coding RNA, 103 nt
Organism: Acanthosepion pharaonis
Lineage: Eukaryota; Metazoa; Mollusca; Cephalopoda; Sepiida; Sepiidae
Source: the annotation of a GenBank genome assembly
AUCACAUUGGAAAACCGGUUUCCAUACGAUUACCGAAGUUAAGCAGCGCCGAACCUGGUCAGUACCUAGGUGAGUGACCGCUUGAGGAUACCAGGUGUUGUAA